Molecule: ribosomal RNA, 253 nt
Filed under: uncultured bacterium
Lineage: Bacteria
Description: partial 16S ribosomal RNA
Rfam family: Bacterial small subunit ribosomal RNA
Source: RNAcentral
UACGUAGGGGGCAAGCGUUAUCCGGAUUUACUGGGUGUAAAGGGGGCGCAGACGGCGAUGCAAGCCAGGAGUGAAAGCCCGGGGCCCAACCCCGGGACUGCUCUUGGAACUGCGUGGCUGGAGUGCAGGAGGGGCAGGCGGAAUUCCUGGUGUAGCGGUGAAAUGCGUAGAUAUCAGGAGGAACACCGGUGGCGAAGGCGGCCUGCUGGACUGCAACUGACGUUGAGGCUCGAAAGUGUGGGGAGCAAACAGG